Long non-coding RNA from Cydia strobilella, 181 nucleotides. RefSeq lists it as uncharacterized. The record is from RefSeq and is a predicted model, not a curated record. Lineage: Eukaryota; Metazoa; Arthropoda; Insecta; Lepidoptera; Tortricidae. The transcript has 3 exons.
ACGCACACACAUACCCUAUCAGCUUACCUGGAUGGCAUUGACCGUGAAUGCGACACACCCAUACCGGAGACCUCGGAGACUGAACAUGAAGACUCGCAGCCUGCGCAGGAGUUUAGCUAUCCAGUGAAUACCACAGUACAAGCCUCCGUCCCCACCACCUCAUUAGGGGUGGAAGCGAAAC